GACGAACGCUGGCGGCGUGCUUAACACAUGCAAGUCGAACGGAAAGGCCCUGCUUUUGUGUGGUGCUCGAGUGGCGAACGAGUGAGUAACACGUGAGUAACCUGGCCUUGACUUUGGGAUAACUUCAGGAAACUGGGGCUAAUACCGGAUAGGAGCUCCUGCUGCAUGGUGGGGGUUGGAAAGUUUCGGCGGUUGGGGAUGGACUCGCGGCUUAUCAGCUUGUUGGUGGGGUAGUGGCUUACCAAGGCUUUGACUGGUAGCCGGCCUGAGAGGGUGACCGGGCACAUUGGGACUGAGAUACGGCCCAGACUACGACGGGAGGCAGCAGUGGGGAAUUUGGCACAAUGGGCGGAAGCCGGAUGCAGCAACUCCGCGUGCGGGAUGACGGCCUUCGGGUUGUAAACCGCUUUCGCCUGUGACGAAGCGUGAGUGACGGUAAUUGGUAAAGAAGCACCGGCUAACUACGUG
This 468-nucleotide ribosomal RNA is filed under the name uncultured bacterium. RNAcentral describes it as "partial 16S ribosomal RNA". It matches the Rfam family "Bacterial small subunit ribosomal RNA", at positions 28 to 507 of the family's 1533-position model. The record is from RNAcentral.